Molecule: long non-coding RNA, 2122 nt
Filed under: Hordeum vulgare
Lineage: Eukaryota; Viridiplantae; Streptophyta; Magnoliopsida; Poales; Poaceae
Description: long non-coding RNA (HVUL_LNC016367)
Source: RNAcentral
GCCAGGUAAAGACAUGUCCCUUUCAUUUUCUUGUUUGUAUCAUAGGGUGUUCUUCUAUCACUCGAAGUACACGCAUUUAAGCCCAUUGACAACCAUGCAAUUAAAUUAAACAAAUCUCUAAAGAAUGCAACUUAUCAUUCACAACCUUUUCACGUGAGAGGAUCAUUGUGUUUUUUCUAAUACAAUGAUUAUAACUUCCCUUGAUAAAGCUGACAAGCUAAGAAAACAUUAUUUUCUACUCUACAAGAGCUUCCAAAAAUGGGAGAGACUCAUGGAAGGCUUAGUAUGAUCCAUGUAAUAUAAGGAAGAAUUGGCGGCGGGGGNGGGGGGGGUGGUGUAAGACCUGCAGAAAACCAAAUGUACAAUGGGAAGCAAAUAAGAACAAUAGCUUAGUAGCAUCACGAUAUAUGUAGUCAUGCAGUCGAUAAGAUACCCCCCAAAAUCUCACCAAAUAUCAUUCUUUUAGUUUAUGAAAAUAAAUCAAAUACCUCACAUUAAUCUCACCAAGCUAAGAGCAAAUUCAAAGCAUGAGUGGGGAGGCAAGGCACUAGAGAGACAAAGAGAUAGCGCCAAAGCUAAUACUUGUGUACAUGUAGCAUCUCAUAUCUCUUGAUGCUCUUUGCUACGGCCAACUACCCAUCAACUCAUGCCACAUCUUCUGCAAAUGAUACAUGUUUGGAAUUGAAAUAAAUUAAUUGUAUUAACAUGGUAUCACUGGAGUUGUGUCUAUUACCACUAACUAAUGAAUUUCCAUUACAAUAUUCUUCUAUGAGCAAUGUGAAAGAAAAUAAUGAUACAGGUUAGAAUAUAUAGACAUGACAUAUUAUGUCAGACUAGACAAAAGAUGACACAUCAAAGAAAAUCAUAGAGAGUUGUAUUCUUCAUUCCUUGCUGCAGUUUAAAUAAAUAUGAUGGAACUAAUCAAUCUUUUUAAUGGCUGCAACAAAUAACUAUUGCCCUAGUAAAUCAAAACUAAUUUUUAAUAGCCACUAAUUUCCAUUAUAUAUGAACCAUCUGUAGUAAUCCAAAGUAACAUCACACAAAACCAUAUAUUUGAAAUAAUAUAGCAACUUAUUGAUCUGGUUGUGCUUCUCUUCCGCACCCUUCAAUCUGAUUGUGUGUACCUAUAAGAACAACUUAGCUGCUUCCACUAAUCAAAGUGAUUGAGUGAUUUAAUGUUGGCAAAAAAAGUACUAUAGAGCUAUCAGGUAAUACAUUGAGAUUCUCUUCAGAAAUAUGUUUGAUUUGGGAUGCUUUCUCCUUUGCAAGAGCUACACCUAGUUUGGAUUUUCUUAACUCUGGGCCUUCUCAACUUAUUGACUUGCCUCGCCGUCCUAUUACGCCAGUCAUAGUACGGUUACAUAAAAAAUUGAUGGGAGGACAGUGCAAAAACUAUGGCACAAACACAUAGGAACGACCAUCCACUUAAAGUUACAAUUUGGGCACAAACUAUGGCAGAAACACAAACUAUGGCACAAAAUUAACAUUGUGGUUUUAAUUGAAUGGAGGCUUUUAUACCACGGCUUAUACAAUUGGGGCAUCAUCUCCUUAUGUGAACAUCAGAAGCGAAAGGAUAAAAAUUGCUAUCAAUUAUGCAUGGGUUGAUUUAGCAAACAAUCUUAUAUUGUCCACUGUUGCUUCAAAAGCUACCCGUAAGAAGAUUCAACAUCAUGGUAUGGAGUCCACCAGAUUUAGAUCCUAAUAGUAGUCGAAUGGUUCAAUCCCAACCCCGCCCAGUUCCUUAAAACCAAAUGGAACAAUUCCGCAAUCCUAAACCCAAAACAACACCAAUAUUCAUACAUGCACACACGUCCUCAUAGUCCAUACCAAAUUUACAACAACUUUGAUUUUCUUAAUACUACUAACAAACAAGAUGUAGGGAGAGAAAGGGCGAGAAGAGUAAAGAUCCAGGUGUGGUAGAGAGGAAAAGAAUGAGCGCACCUGAGAUGGUGAAGGUCAGGUUGAUGCUGGACAUGCCGAUGAUUGGGAGCAGGAGGAGGGAUAUCGGCGUCGUUGCCCUCGUUCUGUCGCCGAACUCCAGCGCUGCCUCCUCAUAGCUGCCACGAACACCCCAAGCCUCCUGCGCCAGAUCAAUACGCUGCCAUCAGUGUCGAGGAAGAUC